UACAAGUACCCGUGAGGGAAAGUUGCAAAGUACUUUGAAGAGAGAGUUCAAGAGGGCGUGAACCCGCUUGGAAGAAAACAGAUGGACCUGGCGUUAGUUCACUGGAUUCAAUUCUCUUAUGUGCGGGCCAGAGGUUGUUGAUGUCAUUCCGCCUUGUAGGUUUCUGCACUUGGGGCGUACAUUUCCAGUGGAUGUGCACUUGGGGCAGUCUGGGCGCUGUGCAAAACAUGUGUUGCCGGCUGGUGUGCUAGCACCAGUGUCCCACACGAGUGGAGCUCGAGUUGCCUGGACUGGAUAAUCAUGUUGGCGCGUGCGCCUUUGGCUCGGGAACACAGUCGCCUGAGGGUCGAUCGCGGGCACUCCUCGCCGAGGACCCUGUGAAUCCCUCUCUCGUACACUGUGGGACUGAGCUCGCGUGCCACCCUGGUGUUUCAGUCAGUUACCCAUCUGACCCGUCUUGAAACACGGACCAAGGAGUCUAACAUGUGCGCAAGUUAUUGGGUUGCAAAACCUAAAAGCGUAAUGAGAGUGAAGGCUGGCUGGACCAGCUGAUGUGGGAUCCUGGUCAAUGCCCAGGCGCACCACAAUCCCGUCUUGUCUGCAUUGUCAGUGAGGCGGAGAUAGAGCGUACCUGUUGGGACCCGAAAGAUGGUGAACUAUGCCUGAGCAGGAUGAAGCCAGAGGAAACUCUGGUGGAGGUCCGAAACGGUUCUGACGUGCAAAUCGAUCGUCAGACUUGGGUAUAGGGGCGAAAGACUAAUCGAACCAUCUAGUAGCUGGUUCCCUUCGCA
Molecule: ribosomal RNA, 791 nt
Filed under: Paracanthonchus miltommatus
Lineage: Eukaryota; Metazoa; Nematoda; Chromadorea; Chromadorida; Cyatholaimidae
Description: eukaryotic LSU rRNA
Rfam family: Eukaryotic large subunit ribosomal RNA
Source: RNAcentral